UGAGGGAAUAUUUGGGGUCAAUGGGCGGAAGCCUGAACCAGCCAAGUAGCGUGAGGGAUGACUGCCCUAUGGGUUGUAAACCUCUUUUAUAAGGGAAUAAAAUACGGGACGUGUCCUGUUUUGCAUGUACCUUAUGAAUAAGGACCGGCUAAUUCCGUGCCAGCAGCCGCGGUAAUACGGAAGGUCCGGGCGUUAUCCGGAUUUAUUGGGUUUAAAGGGAGCGUAGGCCGUCUUUUAAGCGUGUUGUGAAAUACUGUCGCUCAACGACAGAGGUGCAGCGCGAACUGGGAGACUUGAGUGCGCGGAAUGCAGGCGGAAUUCGUCGUGUAGCGGUGAAAUGCUUAGAUAUGACGAAGAACUCCGAUUGCGAAGGCAGCCUGCAGUAGCGUAAC
RNAcentral lists this ribosomal RNA (392 nucleotides) under uncultured Prevotella sp. RNAcentral's name for it is "bacterial SSU rRNA". It matches the Rfam family "Bacterial small subunit ribosomal RNA", at positions 354 to 740 of the family's 1533-position model. Lineage: Bacteria; Pseudomonadati; Bacteroidota; Bacteroidia; Bacteroidales; Prevotellaceae. The record is from RNAcentral.